UUUCCGGUUGAUUCUGCCGGAGGACAUUUGCUAUUGGGAUUCGAUUUAGCCAUGCUAGUCGAGCGAGUUCAGACUCGCGGCGCAUAGCUCAGUAACACGUGGCCAAGCUACCCUUCAGUCAGCGAUACCCUCGGGAAACUGAGGUUAACAGCUGAUACAAAACGCCAGCUGGAAUGCGGCGUUUCAGAAAGACAUCGCUGAAGGAUGCGGCUGCGGCCGAUUAGGUAGACGGUGGGGUAACGGCCCACCGUGCCAGUAAUCGGUACGGGUGAUGAGAGUCAGAGCCCGGAGACGGAAUCUGAGACAAGAUUCCGGGCCCUACGGGGCGCAGCAGGCGCGAAACCUUUACACUGCACGGAAGUGCGAUAGGGGAAUCCCAAGUGCGAGGGCAUAUUAGCCCUCGCUUUUCUCGACUGUAAGGUGGUCGACGAAUAAGAGCUGGGCAAGACCGGUGCCAGCCGCCGCGGUAAUACCGGCAGCUCAAGUGAUGUCCCAUAUUAUUGGGCCUAAAGCGUCCGUAGCU
RNAcentral lists this ribosomal RNA (523 nucleotides) under uncultured haloarchaeon. Its description in RNAcentral is "bacterial SSU rRNA". It matches the Rfam family "Archaeal small subunit ribosomal RNA", at positions 1 to 526 of the family's 1478-position model. Lineage: Archaea; Methanobacteriati; Methanobacteriota; Halobacteria; Halobacteriales; Halobacteriaceae. The record is from RNAcentral.